Molecule: ribosomal RNA, 491 nt
Filed under: Salmonella enterica subsp. enterica serovar Newport
Lineage: Bacteria; Pseudomonadati; Pseudomonadota; Gammaproteobacteria; Enterobacterales; Enterobacteriaceae
Description: partial 23S ribosomal RNA
Rfam family: Bacterial large subunit ribosomal RNA
Source: RNAcentral
CCCUGGCAGUCAGAGGCGAUGAAGGACGUGCUAAUCUGCGAUAAGCGCCGGUAAGGUGAUAUGAACCGUUAUAACCGGCGAUUUCCGAAUGGGGAAACCCAGUGUGAUUCGUCACACUAUCAUUAACUGAAUCCAUAGGUUAAUGAGGCGAACCGGGGGAACUGAAACAUCUAAGUACCCCGAGGAAAAGAAAUCAACCGAGAUUCCCCCAGUAGCGGCGAGCGAACGGGGAGGAGCCCAGAGCCUGAAUCAGCAUGUGUGUUAGUGGAAGCGUCUGGAAAGGCGCGCGAUACAGGGUGACAGCCCCGUACACAAAAGCGCAUGUGCUGUGAGCUCGAUGAGUAGGGCGGGACACGUGGUAUCCUGUCUGAAUAUGGGGGGACCAUCCUCCAAGGCUAAAUACUCCUGACUGACCGAUAGUGAACCAGUACCGUGAGGGAAAGGCGAAAAGAACCCCGGCGAGGGGAGUGAAAAAGAACCUGAAACCGUGU